CAUUGUGGAUGGCACUUCUUGUGUGUUGUUGAAAAAGUAACCAAAAAUAGCAACUAAAGUGCCCCAUAGACUGCAAAAACUACCAAAAUUUCGUGCGUGAGUGCCGCGUGAAUUGAUGUGCAACACUUUUGAGGACGUGCAGUGUGGAUUUCAACGUGUUUUUCGUGCUUUUCUCUCGUGUCUGACAAGCAGCCAGGAUGCAUUUGUGAAUUGAACUCAUCCAUCCGAGCCAACCGUCGACUUUACAGUGACCGUGACGACGCCACAUCAAUCGACGUCACGACGAGCCUACACUUCGUAACAGCUUGGACGGCAUGGCGGCCUCCACUCAGGGCGAAAUAAGAGUGGGUCCUGGCCACCAGGUAAACGAUAUCUAUGCCAAGUUACCAGACUAUCAGCCAAUUUCGAAGUACCAAUGCGACAACAAGGACUCCGAGCGUGACCUCGAGGAUCCUCGAUGGAGUCCGGGUGUUGUUUUGGAUGGUGAUUUGAUGAUGUACUUACGUGCAGCUCGAUCAAUGGCCGCGUUUCAAGGUAUGUGCGAUGGAGGCUCACCCGAGGAUGGAUGUUUAGCUGCUAGCAGGGACGAUACAACUAUAAACGCAUUAGACGUUUUACACGAUUCAGGUUAUGAUCCUGGAAAAGCACUUCAGACAUUAGUAAAGUGUCCCGUACCCAAGGGUAUCGAUAAAAAGUGGUCAGAAGACGAAACGAAGCGUUUCAUCAAGGGUUUACGUCAAUUUGGCAAGAAUUUCUUUCGCAUCCACAAAGAUCUCUUGCCGCACAAGCAAACGCCGGAACUUGUGGAAUUUUAUUAUUUGUGGAAGAAGACACCCGGCGCUAACAAUAAUCGUCCCCAUCGACGACGUCGUCAGGGUUCACUGAGACGCAUACGGAAUACCAGGGCGAGCAAUUCGACGCCAAACGCCAAAAAGGAGGAAACUCCAGAACCAACUUCGCAGGAACAGAGACCAUCACCGGUUUCAAAGGAAGAAAAUAGUUCAUUAACAGAGGACGACGCAAGUGAAUGUGAUAGCGAUUCAAGUGCUACGAAUAAACUUUUACACGAAGGUUCAACACCAGCUGGAAGUGAUUUUCUCGGUGACGAAUCCCCAUCGAGAAUGCGAACGCGGAAUAAGCAGUCGUCCAAAGAUCAGCCGAGUAGUAAGAGGCCAAAGCGUGGAUCUGAGACACCUGAUGCCACAGCUGAGAGUCCCAGAACACCAAAUAAGUCCGACAAGAAAAAGAGCAAAAGUGAGACUCCCAAUAAGGGAAGGAAGCGUCAAAAUGAUGCAAGUGAUGAGAGUGAUGAGAAGGAUAAGAGAAAGCGUUCAGACACCCCGUCUGAGAGUGGGAAUUCCGAUAGUCGUCCUGAAUCGGUGUUGGAUGAUGCUGAAAAUGCCACAGAGUCCCCAGAAGCAAAUUGCAGUGUUGGUGGCCCCAAGGAGGCUGAAGAGAAGCUCAUUGAUCCCCUUGCAACACCAAUGGAAGCUGCUGUGGUGGUGGGAAGUGGUGUUGUACCCAAAGAGGGUGCUGAAGAUGAACCAAUGCCACCGUCGUGUAAAGUGGAAGAACCUGUUGCUCUUGUGACGGAGGCAGUGGCAGCUCCUGUGGCUGUGGGUGGAGGUGAUGUAAAGGAAUCUCCUGCAGAAGAACCCAUUAAGAGUGUUGGUGAGAAGAAGGCAUCAGUGGAGGAGGAGGAAGCAGCAGCAGCAGCAGCAUCGGAGGAUGAUAAGGAACAACAACAGGAGAUGCUGUCAAAGAUUGCAAAUAUGAAGCAGGAAAUUAUCCCGUCGGCAGGAGAUCAAUCAGGACAACCACCAAUGCAGAAGGAAGUGAUGUUUAUCAAGAGGGAGCCAGGAGAGGAUUCUCUCGAGGAGAAUGUCACUGGAAAUGCUGAAGUGCAGCAACAGCAACAACAACAGCAGGAUAUUAAAUGCAAAGUCGAGAUAAAGACUGAAGGAAAGGUGCAGAAUGACGAAGGAACUGGGCAGCAGCAGCAACUGCAGCAACAGCAACAAGAUCCAGGGAAGUAUGAUGUAGAGAUGAAGCCAGCCUAUGAGGCAACAGUGAAGUAUCCACCUCCGGAACUUGGACCCAUGAAAUUCUCCACAUCAACGGAUGAACCCAUGAAGUAUGGUGAUCCAUUGAAGUACAGUGCUGAUGUUCUCAUGAAAUACCCAACGGAUAUGAGUGGGAAGUAUCCAGCUGUACCAAUUGAUGCGACAAAGUAUGGGAGUGGUCAGGAAUUGCCACAGAUUAAGUAUGAGAUGAAGCCGUAUAUGGAGCAACCGCAGAAUCUCAAAUAUCCCGAAGGAGGAGCAUUGAAGCCAUAUCCGGAGAGUGCUCUCAAGAUGCCUCCAUCUGGUCAGCAGCCGCCACCACCGAAUCAGGAUCCAAUGCACCUCCUUAAGGGUGCCUAUCCAAUGCCCAAUAUGAAGUAUACCCCACCACCGGCUGAUGCUCUCAAAUACGGUGGCAAUGAACCGGCAAGCCCCGGAAUGGGAAAAUCUCUCUUUGGUGGUGAUGGUCCAAGCCCAGCCCAUGGGAUCCCUCGCUCGCCCUACGAUGCAUCGCCAAUGAUGAAGUUUGGGGAUCAAAUGAUGAAGUAUCACAGCAUGGCGGGAGUUGCUAUGCCACCCACAAGUCAACCAGAUGCCCGUGAUGCGCCCCAACAUCCGGGAAUGAAGUAUCCCGGAGAGGGAGGAAUCCCCAAAAAUCAAUUUACCGCAGAUAAUCUCAUGAAGAGUGUGACGUAUGAUUCACCAGUUGGCAUGAAGUAUCCCCCAUCGGAGAGUCCCCUUGAUGCCUCAUCGCGCUCAACACCGAAUCAGGAUAGUCAAAGUAGCAAUAGUAACAGUCAAACGCAACCAUUGCACCUCCAUGGUGGGCCAGGAAGUAUUUCUUCGCCACAUUCAGCACAACAGACCAUCUCACCGCUAACAACAUCAUCGCACAGCUUGUCACAGCAGCAACCAACACCACUGAUUGUGAGUCAUCCGGGGCUUUUGCCACCACUUCCGGCAAAUCAUCCAUCUCUCAUGAGUGCUUCGGCGUCCCCGUCGUCAGUUCCGCCGCCGCCAACAAUGCAUCAACCACUUGCAAUGCCACCAAUUAGUGUUCCAUCGUCCCUCAGUCAGGGCCCGUUGAAAUUGCCACCGAAUCCAUUGUUGCCACCAUCGCAGCAGCAUCCACUUCACAGGCCCCAUCAGGAUGCCCUAUCAGGGGGACAUCCACUGUCAUCAGGUGGGCCACCCACGGGGCAGACAACAUCACCACAUUCCCACCACGUAUCAGCACAAUCGGCAUCACAACGGCGAAGCCCAUCACCAACAGCGGUGAGUGUGAGGAGUGAUAGUGCAAGUAGUGGAGCUGCCCGUGAGAGUGGUGGACACUCAUCGGGGAGGACAUCUCCACCGCCACCAAUUGGUGCAAUGAUCCCCAAUAGUGCAAUGGUGGGUCACCCACUACCCCUGCAUCUUGGGCAUCAUGCCCCAGGUGGGAUUCCCCUGCCGCCGCAUCAUCCAGCAGCCCAUCUUGGUGGGCAUUUGGGGCACAAUCCGCUGUUGCCGCCCUCAAUGGCUGCUGGGAAUAUGCCUCUGCCUCUGCUGGGUGGACCUCCGGGGGCGCUUUCGCUUGGCGGUGAACCCGGCAGGAGGACACCCAUUUCGUCAGCAAGUAGCCUCCAUCAAUUGGGAUCAAUGCAUAGCACAACAUCCCAAUCCCCACAUACACAACAGAGCUCUGUUGCAUCCAUGACACCGAGUAGCUUUAGUCGUGCUAGCCCAAGUACGGCUCCAUCGCAGCAGAAUGCCUCAUCGGGUGGUAGUGGUGGGCCAUCACAGCAUCGUGUGGGCUCACCACUUCCCCUAACAGCUGGCCUGAGUCGCACAAGCCCCUUGCACCUUGUUCCACAGAGUCCUAUUGGGGCUCAUCAUCAAUCUGCCGCUGCGGCGGCUGCUCUGUCGGCCGCUGAACGCGAUCGGCAUGCAAUGCGUCAGCAAUCUCCGCACAUGACACCUCCACCCACCUCAGUAUCGUCAUCCUUCAUGCCGAGUCCACUGAGUAAGAUGUACGGGCCUCCGGGUGCGGGGCAGCGACACCUGGGUGCUUCACCGCCUCCACCGUCGCACCAUUUACGCCCCGGAGCUUCCCCACCGGUGGUGCGUCAUCCACAAAUGCCUCUCCCACUACCUCUAAUUGGGCCCCCAGCGGGUAUCCCAACGCCCAUGGGUGUCCAUCCAGCUGCCCAGAAUGCCUAUCCGCAUCAUCUAAUCCACCCAUCGAUGUUCUACCCGCAUCACCAUAGUCCCUUCAAUUCGCCCUAUCCCUACCAUCCGUAUGGCCCGAGUUUCUCCUACAUGAAACCCCCACCACCGGGUGGACCCCUCGAACCGGGUGUCAUAUCGCACCAUCAAAGUGUUACGUCGCGCUGCGAAGAAACCCCAACGCAUGUGGACAAGCAGAUGACCAUUACGAGUUCUCAGAGUGUUCAGCAUAAGAUAAAGAGUCAACCACCGAAGACUCCCCAAAAUCCACCUGUUGGUGCAACAGCCCCUCCAGGUGGGUCACAGAGUCAAUACCCGAGUCCCGUGCAUGGGUAUCCACCGGCACAUCCCUUCCCAGAGAGUCCACUUUCGGGGAAGACAAGUCACAUGGAUGCCCUACGUGCGCAUGCUCAUGCAGCCAGCAAUAGUCUUGGUUCCCAUCAUCCCGUGGAGCCGGUUCAUGUGGAUAUUGAUCCGGAUCCAGAACCAGAAAUUCCCAGUCCUCCGCAGCACAUACAGCGUGGACCGAGUCCCGAAGCAAAACCAGAUGACACCGAAUGUCAUAGGUCACAGUCUGCAAUAUUUGUGAGACGAUGCGAUCGUGGGGAUUACAAUUCGUGCACAAGGACAGAUUUGGAAUUUAAACCCGUUGCUGGGUCAACAUUGGCGCGAAAGCGUGAAGAGAGGGACCGGAAAUUGGCUGAGAGGGAACGUGAGAGACGACAGCAGCAGCAACAACAGCAACAGCAGCAGCAGCAACAGCAGCAACAGGCUCAGCAACAGGCAAAGUUAAAGUCUGAAAUUAAACCAUUCAGUGAUACUCCAGCCCUGAGGCAGCUUUCGGAGUACGCCAGGCCACAUGUGGCCUUCAGCCCUGUUGAGCCGAUGGUACCACCAUAUCAUCCAAUGGGCCCAAUGUACAGUAGAGAAAGAUUAAUCAACAAUUUCAGAGAAUUUGAAGAGUUGAAGAAUCAACAAGCAGCUGCUGUGGGACCAGCUAAUCCACAUUGGAUGGAGUUCUAUCGCAUGAGGGGCAUUCAUCCGUCGCAGUUUCCACUGUAUGGCAAUCCAGCGGCAAUAUCGCAACUUGAACGUGAAAGAUUAGGUAUUCCACCACCGCAUCAUGUAGGGCUCGAUCCCAAUGACCCAAUGCAGCAAGAAGCGGCAGGAUUUCAGCUACCACCGAAUGUUCCACCCUAUACUCGCCCGAAUGUAUUAUUGCCUAGAGAACCACAUCCUGAUGUCCUUCUCCGUAUGUCUUAUGCUGAUCAGAUUCAGGCUGCUGAAUUCCAACGUCUCGAUCGAGCUCAUUCAUUCCACGAGCAGUACUUUCGGUAAGUAAAAAGAAAUUCAAAAUCAUUUUUACAAAACGGUGUAAUAGUGUAGAAAAUGUAAUUGAUGCCCUAACCUUGAAAAUGUUUUAAAAAUCUUUUUUUUAUACAUUUAUUUAAUUUUUUACUCCAAAUUUAACGAAUUCUAACACUAAAAUUUCUCCUGAAAAGAUUUUUUUAUACGUUUACCCUAUUUCUACGUUAUUUAUUAAUUUUUAACUCAUUUACUAUACCAUAACCUUAAAAAUGCCUAAAAUAUAUUUUUUUACACUUUUAUUUAAUUUUUUACUCCAAAUCUAACAAAUUCUUAUAUUAAAAUUACUAUUAAAAUGAAUUUUUAUACAUUUACCCUAUUUCUACGUUAUUUAUUAAUUUUUACCUCAUUUACUAUACCAUAACCUUAAAAAUGCCUCAAAUAUAUAUUUUUUACACUUUUAUUUAAUUUUUUACUUCAAAUCUAACAAAUUCUAAUAUUAAAAUUGCUAUUGAAACUACUUUUAUGCCUUUACACCCUUUCUAUGUAAUUUAUUAAUUUUUAACUCAUUUAUUACACCCUAAACUACAUAUUUUUACUUGUAACUUACUAUUAAAAUUUACUACUGGACUAUUGCAAUUUUCAAGGUUUUUAUUACACAUUUAAAACAUUUUUCUACAUUUACGUCCUUUUUUUCUACAUCCAAUUCAUACCCCAUUUGACAACUUAGUCAGUUGUCAAAUUAUAACCUUAAAAUCAAUUUUUGAACCAAUUCUGACACUUAAAUAUCGUUUUAAUUCAUUAUUACUUCUUCAAAACUCUAAAAUGAUUUAGAGGUUACUUUUUUUUACACUUCUGCGGUAUUUUUAUCAAAAAUUUAUCAACUUUUAGUAUUCCUUUAACACUUUCAACUCCAUUUUUAUACUUCUACUCAAUUUUUAUCCAAAGUAAAUUAAUUUUAAUCUAAACUUAUGUUGGACUUUUUUUUUGUACUCUCUCGUUUUUUUACACUCUACUCCAUUAUUUUACUCUGAUACUACAUCUUCAAAAACAACUCUUAUUUUUGACUUAAAGACAAUAGUGACUGUUUCAAAGCGAUUGUCUUUUGAACGUUAAUCAUUUGUUUUUUUUUUUACGCUGCGGUAUGAUAACCUAAUAAAUCAUUGUAGAUGUUUAACUCUACAAAAAAUUCUCUUUUGUAAAAUAACCUUGCAACCUUAACCUUUAGUUUUGAGAAACUGAAGUAGAAAAAUCUGUUUGAAAAAAAAAAAAGACUGACAAUUUGACAGAACUGUGUGUUGUGUAGUUGGUAGCAUUUUGUUACGUGUAAUUAAUUUCACCACUCACUCCUCAAACUAAACAUAAAACGGUCGAUCUAUUGCAGACAUCAUGAAAGGGAAAUGAAAGUAAGAGCACUGGAGGAGGCAACACGUGGAAAACACUGAAUUUUUCCACACUAAAAAACAACGUUGGCAAAAAAAGCAUUUUGCUUUGUUUUUUAUCUACACAACAUAGAGCAAGAAAUUCAAAAAUAAAUAGUUUGUUAUUUAUUUUGAAUUUCUGAUGAUGUGAUAGUAAAAUCUUCACAUGAGAGAGAGAGAGAAAGAUGGCAGCCCCCUAUAUAUACGAAUAAUAUCACUUUUUGUAUCAUAAUAUGAAAGAGGAAUCAUAGUGUCUGGCAUUUUUAUUUGUAAAAUGAGACGUAAAAAAAUAAGUAUGUGUGUGUAUGAUGGGGUAAAAAAAUGCGUGAAAAAUAGUGGAAGUGUAUAGAAAGGUUAGGCAGGGAGUAAAAAAAAUACCAUGUAAUUAAUUAGCUUUAGGAGGGGGAUAAAAAAAAGUAGGUAACUUUUAGUGCGAUUUGUGUUCCCGCGUGAAGAGUAUUCAAAUCGAGAAAAAGAAAUUCUUUUAUCAAGAGAAAGAAGUAUUUUAAAAAAUCAGUAAAAAAAAUGAACAAGAAGUCUCGAUAGAAUUUUGUAUAUGCUUUAUAAAUUGAUUUAGUGCGUAGCUCCACUUUGAGGGAUAAAAAAGAAAAGAAAAAAAUCUUUAUUGACAAUUAAAUAACUAAAUAUAAAUUAUUACAUUUCAUAAAAAAAAAAAUAAAACGGUAGAAGCAUUAGAAAAUUUAAUUUACAAUUUAACCACACAAAAACAGCGUGAAAGAGCAAACAACUUCAAUUUUUUGAUAUAUUGCAAAUGUCAAUUUAACGAAAACGUUUAAAAUGACAUAACGGAAAAAUUACUUUCGUUCUUCAAUUUCAAAAGGGAGGAAUUUAUGAAAAUCAAAAACAUUUCAAAAAGAAUUAUUUACUUACUACAAGAAAAAUUACGUUGGAUUCGAUUUAAAAAAAAAUGUUGACAGGCACUUUGUAAUUUAUUACGCGUAUCUAACCUCAAAAAAAAAAACUUUACGUAGCUUGAAAAAAAUUCAGUCAUGUAGUAAAAUACAUGAGAGGUAGAAAAAUACCAACAGAGUAGGAAAACCCCGAAUGAGUUAACAAAAGUCAGUUUAUUCAGCAAAUAUUUCUUUUAGGGCGCUUAUAAUGGACCACAACGCUAUAGAAUAUUAUUAAUUAGGUAAUUUUAUUCGUUUUAGCAGUUUUUUAUAUUAUUAUUGUGAUUGCGCUUGAACGUGUGCGCUUUUUUUAGAACAAAUAAAAUGUACUUUUGACCACAUUUUAAUUCCUCUUGAUCACUUUUUUUAACGGAUAAUUUCAAAUAAAUAAAUAAGCACAACUCGAAGAUUAUUCUUUAAUUGAUAAAAUGUUUUUUUUUCUGAAUAUGUAAAGAAAAUUCUUUCUUUAAAGAAUAAUUUCUCAAGUUCAUAAUGUGAAGGAAAAUUCUUAAAAACUAGCAGAUCGCGUAUUUAAUAAAAUAGCUAAUUUUUCUUAACAGUGAUUCUCUUUUAAUUUCUCCAUAGAAAAAUGAAUAAUCUCUAAUUAAAUCAACUUCCAUAAAUUAUGUAGAAAAUUAAUUUAUCAACAAGCGAGAGAAUUUUUAUUUAAUGACGAAUCCCGGAAAUAAACAAAAAAAAUGUAGAAAAGGCUCCUGAUGAUUUAUUAAACCCCUAACUUAAUGACGAUAAAAAAUGUGUUUAAUAAAUUAUAUUAUUUUUUCUUUAUUUAAAAAGAAAAAAAAGGAUUUACUAAAAUAGUACGUGAACCUCUAUAUAUUGAAGAAUGAUAUUAAAUGUAUUUUUCUAUAAUAAAAAAGUAAUAAACUAAAGAAGAAAGUAAUACAUAUAUAGCACAAAUCUCAAAUUUAUGAGAACAAAGGCAUUUUUUUUUUCAUUAAAAGAAAAGAAAAAAAACUAAUUUAUUAUUUUAAUGGGAAACUUUUGAAGGAAUAAUGAGAAGGAACACAACACAGAACAUAGAAUUUAAUAAAAGAAUAAAAAAGACGUGAAAAGUAUGUUAUUCAAAGGAACUUUACAUUGACGCUACACCCACGAAAUAUGAUGGAGUCAUUAGCCAAUGAAAAUAGUUAUAAUUUUCAGUUGAAAUGUAAAUAAAUAAGAAGAAGAAUCAGAAGUUCUUUCUGAUUGGUUGAUAAAGCACAUGUAGAAUUUUCAUUGGUUAAUUUUCACUCGACUACUUUGUUGUCAAUCAUCACGGGGAUGGAGCUAAGGUGUCAAGUAACAUUUGAAUAGACUACAGUCGAUUGAAGAAAAAAAAACAAUUACCUUUACAAAAGAAAUGAGAUAAAAGAGCAAGAAAAAAGCAUAAAUUAGAAUUUAAGUGAUGAAAGAAAAAAGAAUAUAAAUAAAAUUGUACCGAAACUGAGAAUUUAUAUAUUAAAAAGAUAAAAGAAAAAAACUACAAUUUUGGGUAGAAAUAUUUUUUGCAAAUUUGCAAAAAUCCUCCUUAAAAAUAUUAUUUGUAUAAAUUUUAUUAAAUCUUUGAACAAUGCAAGAAAAAUCGCGCAAAAUGGUUUCGUCCUCCGGAGAAGAUUUUUUCAUUUCUCAAAAUAAUUUUAAAAAAUUCUCAAAAGAUCAACAUUGUGUUCUUUUAUUCUCUUUUUUUUGUUAUAAAAAUCUUUUAUUUUUUAUUAAAAAGAAUUUUAAAAUCUCCCCACAAAACACUUAUUUUGUGACAGGAUGUUUAUACAUAAAACUAGAGAAAAAAAUAGAAGGAAAGAAAAUAAGAUGAGUUUUUAAUAUUAAUUAAUUCCGAUAAAUCGUUCAAUUUGUGUUUGAACGUGUGUAAAUGAUUAUAAAAGAAAAAAAUGGAAUUUUAGAAAUUUAGAAAGUAAAAAAAACAUGCUCGUACAUAUGCAAAAAAAAACUGAAUAAAAACUAUUUACUCAAAGGA
Lutzomyia longipalpis is the source of this 9880-nucleotide RNA transcript. It is a transcript of the gene named arginine-glutamic acid dipeptide repeats protein, with no coding region annotated. NCBI's taxonomy places the organism in Eukaryota, Metazoa, Arthropoda, Insecta, Diptera, Psychodidae. The transcript has 20 exons. The record is from RefSeq and is a predicted model, not a curated record.